Molecule: ribosomal RNA, 493 nt
Filed under: uncultured Pseudomonadota bacterium
Lineage: Bacteria; Pseudomonadati; Pseudomonadota
Description: bacterial SSU rRNA
Rfam family: Bacterial small subunit ribosomal RNA
Source: RNAcentral
UGGGGAAUAUUGGACAAUGGGCGCAAGCCUGAUCCAGCCAUGCCGCGUGUGUGAAGAAGGCCUUCGGGUUGUAAAGCACUUUUGUCCGGAAAGAAAAGCUUCGGGUUAAUACCCCGGGGUCCUGACGGUACCGGAAGAAUAAGCACCGGCUAACUUCGUGCCAGCAGCCGCGGUAAUACGAGGGGUGCAAGCGUUACUCGGAAUUACUGGGCGUAAAGCGUGCGUAGGUGGUUUGUUAAGUCUGAUGUGAAAGCCCUGGGCUCAACCUGGGAAUGGCAUUGGAUACUGGCGAGCUAGAGUGCGGUAGAGGGUAGUGGAAUUCCCGGUGUAGCAGUGAAAUGCGUAGAGAUCGGGAGGAACAUCUGUGGCGAAGGCGACUACCUGGACCAGCACUGACACUGAGGCACGAAAGCGUGGGGAGCAAACAGGAUUAGAUACCCUGGUAGUCCACGCCCUAAACGAUGCGAACUGAAUGUUGGGAGCAAUUAGGCUC